RNAcentral lists this ribosomal RNA (253 nucleotides) under uncultured bacterium. Its description in RNAcentral is "partial 16S ribosomal RNA". It matches the Rfam family "Bacterial small subunit ribosomal RNA", at positions 524 to 776 of the family's 1533-position model. The record is from RNAcentral.
UACAGAGGGUGCGAACGUUGCUCGGAAUUACUGGGCGUAAAGCGCAUGUAGGCGGAUCCAUAAGUCAGACGUGAAAUCCCCCGGCUUAACCUGGGAACUGCGUCUGAUACUGGGAGACUUGAGUAUGGGAGAGGGAUGUAGAAUUCCAGGUGUAGCGGUGAAAUGCGUAGAUAUCUGGAGGAAUACCGAUGGCGAAGGCGGCAUCCUGGACCAUUACUGACGCUGAGGCGCGAAAGCUAGGGGAGCAAACGGG